CACGGAGGGGGCUAGCGUUUUUCGGAAUGACUGGGCGUAAAGCGCGCGUAGGCGGUUCGGUAAGUUGGAUGUGAAAGCCCGGGGCUCAACUCCGGAUGGGCGUUCAAGACUGCCGAACUUGAGACCGAGAGAGGAGAGUGGAAUUCCCAGUGUAGAGGUGAAAUUCGUAGAUAUUGGGAAGAACACCAGUGGCGAAGGCGGCUCUCUGGCUCGGUUCUGACGCUGAGGUGCGAAAGCGUGGGGAGCAAACAGG
Molecule: ribosomal RNA, 253 nt
Filed under: uncultured bacterium
Lineage: Bacteria
Description: partial 16S ribosomal RNA
Rfam family: Bacterial small subunit ribosomal RNA
Source: RNAcentral